RNAcentral lists this ribosomal RNA (522 nucleotides) under uncultured Gallionellaceae bacterium. RNAcentral's name for it is "bacterial SSU rRNA". It matches the Rfam family "Bacterial small subunit ribosomal RNA", at positions 11 to 526 of the family's 1533-position model. Lineage: Bacteria; Pseudomonadati; Pseudomonadota; Betaproteobacteria; Nitrosomonadales; Gallionellaceae. The record is from RNAcentral.
GUUUGAUCCUGGMUYAGAUUGAACGCUGGCGGCAUGCUUUACACAUGCAAKUCGARSGGCAGCWYGGGGGCAACCCUGGUGGCGAGUGGCGAACGGGUGAGUAAUAUAUCGGAACAUGUCCGGAAGUGGGGGAUAGCUCGGCGAAAGCCGGAUUAAUACCGCAUAUGCCCUGAGGGGGAAAGGAGGGGAUCCRCAAGGACCUUUCGCUUUCGGAGUGGCCGAUAUCGGAUUAGCUAGUUGGUGAGGUAAAGGCUCACCAAGGCGACGAUCCGUAGCUGGUYUGAGAGGACGACCAGCCACACUGGAACUGAGACACGGUCCAGACUCCUACGGGAGGCAGCAGUGGGGAAUUUUGGACAAUGGGGGCAACCCYGAUCCAGCCAUGCCGCGUGAGUGAAGAAGGCCUUCGGGUUGUAAAGCUCUUUCAGACGGAAAGAAACGGUUACAGAUAAUACCUGUGACUAAUGACGGCACCGUCAGAAGAAGCACCGGCUAACUACGUGCCAGCAGCCGCGGUAAUAC